This 2505-nucleotide long non-coding RNA is filed under the name Meleagris gallopavo (turkey). RNAcentral's name for it is "lncRNA (ENSMGAG00000022288.1)". Lineage: Eukaryota; Metazoa; Chordata; Aves; Galliformes; Phasianidae. The record is from RNAcentral.
AUGGCCAACACCAGUAAGUUCUUGAUUCUAUCCUUCUCCUUUCUUUCCUUUGCUUUCUCAGUUUCCUCUCUGUUCUCUCCUGUGCCUUCCUUGGCCUAUGCCUUUCCCAAGCUUCUCUCCCUCUUCUUUUUUUUUUUGUUUUCCUUCCAAGCUUCCAUCAUUACAAGCUGGCUCAGCUCUCUUUAUCUUCCAGGCACCUCCUCUGCCCAUGAAAGUCCCCAUUUUAAAAUUUUACUCUUCCCUCUAGUUCCUCCAACCAGUCUCAACCAAUUAAGGCUCGGGUGCCCCUGGAAAAUACAAAAACCAAUAGCGUCUACCAAAUAUUCUAUUUCACUCUCAUCUCCAGCCCCGGAGGCUUCCAGCCGCUGACUGCAGGGUAUGGGGUUUCCUAGAUCUCUGUAGAUCGGGACAUUCUUGCUUCCAACGCGUUCCUCCCCACCUCCCAGGCGACGCACCGUGUCACAGCACGGCUUUGCAGCGUCUCUCCUGCGGCUCUUUCAUUCUCUGAGCGCCUUGCAGCCGCGGUGGGGGGGUUGUUGGGGUCGGGGUGUUUCUCCUCCCAGCACUCAUCUGUUCCGGCCCGGUGCAAACUGCAACCCAUCACAACACCUACGUGCACUUUUCAUACACUUCACGCUUUUAAAUACAUGAUGCAACGCACAACCGCUGCUGCAGCUACAGCAGCAAAAAGUAAAGCUGAACACGAGAUGCAGAUUCCCCACGUAUGCACACCGCAGACGGACAGAAAUGCAUAAGAAGCUCGGCGCAGCCNNNNNNNCCCUCAGCCUUGCUCUCCGCAGGCGGUGCUUCUGUCACGCCUCGCUGGAAGCAAUUUAAAGGAAGCCUCUGCGUAUUCCAGGGAACUCGCAGCCAGACCCGGCACAGCCGGGAGCCGCCCGAGGAUCACUGGGUUGUGCGUGCACCGCCAAUUUGUGCUACAAAGCGCAGAGCCGGGGGCUGAAAGCCAGCUGCAACUCAGACCAGCAGCAUUGCUCGGACUACAUUUCUUCCACAGCGAAACCAGUGUGUCAGUGUGUUCCCUCCUCUGCCCUUCUUUUUUUCUCUUGUCUUCUGAAAUCCAGGAAGAAAGCUCUCCAACCCCAGUGUGGUGUUAGAAAGCAGCAUUCCUUUAUUCCUCACGAUGCACGCUGGGUUGUUGGAAAUAUCCAAAUAAUUUAUCAGGGUGGUACCUGUGAGAAAGCAGAUUUUAUUUGCAUUUGCAAUGGUGGGCCUCCUGCAAGCAGGAGAGCACACAGAAAACAGCGUUACAUUCUUUAUGCCCUAUCACUCAACGCUUCUCUCUUUCUGCCCUGGUUCCUCAUUGGCUGAGUACUGCAGGUUCACAAUCUUCCCGACGCUCAACUGAACACACGGAUACUGGCUAAACAUCACUUGUUGCUAGCUAAGCAUACAUCACUAAUUACUUCUCACACCUGCUCAUUCAACGCUCGCUCCUUGUUUCUGGACAUCUGCUCGUCCUUGCAUAGAGAUAAGCUCAGAAGGAGGAUGGGGGGAGUGUCUUCAUCCCUGCCUGUUGCAUCCCAACCUACCCACAGAGCGAGGCAAGCCAGCCUUGUGCAGAGGCCCUGCCUGCUUUGAUGUUUGUUAAGUCUGCUUUUCUUUUGCUGAGGGUCUCUUAUCCAAACAGAACAGCCCUACAGUAUGCUUUCUAGUCCAUAAUACUAUACCUAUACUAUUUGGAACAUUUGAAAGCUACUGCAGUUUUGCAAGCAAGAAUUAAUCACACAAUUCAACAAAUAUAUUUCUAAAAUAUGUUACUAACAUAGAUGGUAUUUCUGCAUUUACACGUCAGCUAUUUCUAAGGACAAGUUACAAAAUACAAAUACACUGUGCUCUACUUCUUCAGAUCAAUUCCUCUUUUUCAAUACCUAAUGCAGAAACAACAUUCCAUUCCUACAAUGUGACCUGACAAGCAAGCACGCCCUCUCAGAGUUCAGCUCCUAAAUCUGAACAGUUAAGACAUGCAUAUGCACACACUGGCACACAUUCAUUCUUUUCAUGGACUCCCAGAUAUGUGCUGAUGUCCCUUUGGGCAUUCUCAGUGGUAUCUAGGGUGGGCGAGUGCCCAACUACUUCUUCCCCUUUUUUCUCCAUCAGCUGCAUCACUGAAGCCUUGUCACACUUCCAUCCACUUUUCCCCAGUUUGGAAGAUUUCCACUGCUUAGCGACCCAUUCCACUGCCCAUAGUGACCCACUUCUUAACAGCAGUGUGUGUGGAACCUGAGGAAAAUGCCCUUGAUCAUUUUGAGGCAAAGGACAGAAGCAUUUCAUUCUGACUCCAGUGCUUCUAGCGAGGCAAAACAAUUGAGGAAAAGUGUUCUAUUAUGUCCCCAGUGCAAAACUACAGAGGAAUAAUAGGACUGUUCACCCACUAUAGCUGAAAUGGAAAGUUUUAGAAGCAUCACUUAAUGGACUUCUUUUGCUAAACUAAUAUAUUGGUUCUUAAACUAAUCUACUAAUCCCUAUUCUGAAGCAAACCAACCU